AGAGGGAAUUCCACCUGCCCUUGAAGUUGAUGUGCACUGAGAUGCCCAUUCUUCCUGUCCAUUUGGCCCUUCAGGUGUGGUGACCAUUUGCAUGCCAAGCUUGAGGACACUGGAAUUCUGCGAAGUCAUCUGUUCCCUUGCCCACGUGCAGGUGGAGACGGAACCCUAGACACUGCUCAUCCCAAUCAGGCCCUUUCCAGGCCUGUCCCAUUCCAAUCGGGCAUCAGAUGUGGCAUUGAUCAUCAUCUACUUAACAAACGAGGCUCCCCUUUCAAUGCACUUGGGUCUCCUCUGGGCCAACCUUGGUUCUGAGAUAGCAGGUGCUGAAAUACUGCUGAAUCCUCAAAGCCAGACUAGCCAGUGCCUGGCACCUGAUGGGAAUAUGAUUUCAACGAACAGCUCACAGAAUCCUCCCCACAAAGCCGAGAAGCAGGAAGCAGCAACCCUCCCAGAUGAAGAAGCGAAGGCUCGGAAAAGCUAAGUAACUUCUCCAAGCUGACGCAGCUCGUGAGAGGAGGGACUGGGAUUCAAAUCCCUGCAGGGGGAGACCAGCAGCCCCGACUUCAGCCGCCAUGCCUCCUGCCUGAGAAGCUAGCUGCGAAGGUUCCAGAAGGAGACUGCCCUCCGGGAACAGAAACAGCGCAUGACUGCGACCUGUCUGCAAAAAUCUUGAUCACUUGUAAAUCCUUCUCCACCUGAUAAGUUAUCACAUUGGCUCAUGAUGUUUUUUUUCAUUCUCACCCUAUGGCGUGGAUGCUGUUACUACCCCAUUUUACAAAGGAGUAAAGUGAGGCCCAGAGAGAACAGUUAAAUCACUUCCCCAGCUUCACUCAACUCAUCUACGGUGAGUCGACGGUACACAUGCCCUUCCACAACACAAAGGUCUCCACUUUGCCACGUGUCACUCUGAUGGUUCCAGGUGCAGAUUUUGCGUCUGCUUCUUGACUUCUAAUGGCUGCACCAUUUUGCAUUGGAUGGUUAUACCAUCAUUUAUUUGACUCAUCUCCUGUGCACAAGCAUCUAGUUUAUCUGCAAACUUUUGCUACCAAAAACAAUGCUGCAAUGAAUAAAUAAGCUGAUGCCUGCUUCUAAGCGUGCGUGCAUGCUGUAAUGUGAGAUGAAUUCCCAGAAGUGGAGUGGCUGAGUCCAAGAGUAAAUGCAUUUUUCAUUUUGAUAGUAUCGCCAAAUGUCUUUCCAAAGGGGUUGUGCUGGAUCCCACUCCAGCUAGCAAUGUGUGAGAGCACCAAUCCCACCGCCCACUGCAGCACACAUAUUGACGUCGGCUAGUCCAAUACCAGCACAGGCAGCUGGGC
This 1313-nucleotide long non-coding RNA is filed under the name Homo sapiens (human). Its description in RNAcentral is "HSALNT0234782". The record is from RNAcentral. Lineage: Eukaryota; Metazoa; Chordata; Mammalia; Primates; Hominidae.